GACAGCUCUUGGGUGAUGCACCCCGAAAUGGGGCUCCCUCCUCUCUGGUAUUGGGGUGUGUCACUCUAGAACUGCC
This is a non-coding RNA of Myotis brandtii (Brandt's bat), 76 nucleotides long. The record is from Rfam. NCBI's taxonomy places the organism in Eukaryota, Metazoa, Chordata, Mammalia, Chiroptera, Vespertilionidae.